RNAcentral lists this long non-coding RNA (293 nucleotides) under Mytilus galloprovincialis (Mediterranean mussel). The record is from RNAcentral. Lineage: Eukaryota; Metazoa; Mollusca; Bivalvia; Mytilida; Mytilidae.
CUGAUAUUGAACUAGUAAGUUAUAGUAAAUUGUUAACAAUUGCUGUGAACAAACAACAUCAUCAUUCAACUAACGUUCAACUACAGCUUCUUCAUUUGAGGACCUGGUAUAUAAUUCCAGAACCUUAUUUAAAGAGAUGCAUUACCCAUGUUGAAUAACGCAUCAUUAAUCUUUAUCUUCUAGUUUUAUUUUUCAAAGAGUAAUAGUCCAAGAUACACAGCAAAUGAUGUGUCAAAAUCAGAGGGAUGCCUAUGUUGUACAGUAACUUUCUGGGUUUUUGAUGGUAAUUGCAC